Molecule: transfer RNA, 73 nt
Filed under: Neotoma lepida (desert woodrat)
Lineage: Eukaryota; Metazoa; Chordata; Mammalia; Rodentia; Cricetidae
Rfam family: tRNA
About the family: Transfer RNA (tRNA) molecules are approximately 80 nucleotides in length. Their secondary structure includes four short double-helical elements and three loops (D, anti-codon, and T loops).
Source: Rfam by way of RNAcentral
GCCUGGUUAGCUCAGUUGGUAGAACAUGAGACUCUUAAUCUCAGAGUCCUGGGUUCGUGCCCCACAGUGGGUG